GUGAGGUAACGGCUCACCAAGGCUGCGAUGGGUAGCCGACCUGAGAGGGUGAUCGGCCACACUGGAACUGAGACACGGUCCAGACUCCUACGGGAGGCAGCAGUGGGGAAUAUUGGGCAAUGGAGGCAACUCUGACCCAGCAACGCCGCGUGAGGGAAGAAGGUUUUCGGAUUGUAAACCUCUGUCCUUGGGGACGAAGAAAGUGACGGUACCCAAGGAGGAAGCCCCGGCUAACUACGUGCCAGCAGCCGCGGUAAUACGUAGGGGGCGAGCGUUGUCCGGAAUUACUGGGCGUAAAGGGUGCGUAGGCGGUUGCCUAAGUCAGAUGUGAAAUCCCCGGGCUUAACUCGGGUGUUGCAUUUGAAACUGGGGAACUAGAGUGCAGGAGAGGGAAGCGGAAUUCCUAGUGUAGCGGUGAAAUGCGUAGAUAUUAGGAGGAACACCAGUGGCGAAGGCGGCUUUCUGGACUGUAACUGACGCUGAGGCACGAAAGCGUGGGGAGCAAACAGGAUUAGAUACCCUGGUAGUCCACGCUGUAAACGAUGGAUACUAGGUGUAGGGGGCGUAGAGCCCUCUGUGCCGCAGCUAACGCAAUAA
RNAcentral lists this ribosomal RNA (597 nucleotides) under uncultured bacterium. RNAcentral's name for it is "bacterial SSU rRNA". It matches the Rfam family "Bacterial small subunit ribosomal RNA", at positions 252 to 863 of the family's 1533-position model. The record is from RNAcentral.